Long non-coding RNA from Solenopsis invicta (red fire ant), 2335 nucleotides. RefSeq lists it as uncharacterized. The record is from RefSeq and is a predicted model, not a curated record. NCBI's taxonomy places the organism in Eukaryota, Metazoa, Arthropoda, Insecta, Hymenoptera, Formicidae. The transcript is spliced from 2 exons.
UCCUGGGGAAAUUUCGCUAAUUGCAUUUCCCUAAUUGCAUGAUGGUAGGACCAUCGCGGAACACCGCUUAAGACGAAGGGCGGGCGACGCGGGCGUCAUGCAAAAGUGACCGGGGAGGGAAAAAGAGGAAGAAAGAGGGAGAAAAAGUGAGAAAGAGAGGAACGGAGGAGCUGGAGAGCUGCGGGAAAAGAGAGCGCAGGCACGAGAAAAAGAAGGCUACGUAGAGCGAGGAGAGCGCGAAGGAGAACGCAUGGGAGUAGCGAGAGAGAACGUCAGCUGGCCGCGUUCUCGCGUGACGACGCUCCGAACCGCCGCGCCGCGGCCGGCUCGGUUUCCCCGUGGCGGCGGCGGCGGCGGGAAGACCCGCUCGUAUCUCUGUCCCUCAUUACUAUUCUAUGUGUCGUAGUAGACGACGAGGGCCGUCGUCGCGCAUCAGGCCCAGUGUAUAGACAACAAGAGAGAAGAGGGCAGUGUGCGUGCCUGCAUCGUGCUGUGUUGUGCUGUGCGUGCACAGGCGCACGCGCACGUUUGCGUCUCGACGAGCCUCCCCUUUUUUUUAUUUUUUUCCCCUUGCCUUUUUCGCUCUCUCUCUCUCUCUCUCUCUCUCCUUCUUUUUCACUCCUCUCUCACUCUUUCCUCAUCCCUCUCGUUCCCUUCCUUUGUUUUUAUUCGCACCCCUGCUCCGCCAGAAUGCCGGGGUGCGUGUCUGCGAAGAGCAGCUCUAGCCACGCUAGCCCGCAGCGCUCGAUGUCAACUCGUUGCCAUGCAUCUGCCUAGCCGGCUGUCACGCUAUCGGCGUGCCUGAGAGAGCGAGAAUCAAUCUUGCACGAAUGGUGCGGCGACGAGGGCGAACGGGUUCCACGAGUUACGACCGUCGUCCAACUUUUGCGAGAGCCUCGUCGAUGCCCACUUCAGAUUUCAUCUCGAUUGACCGUUACAAGUGGAAUCGAAUGGCUCGCGAGAUGACUACGAAAUCUCCCCAUAACUUGCUCGAGUAUCAUAAUGCGUACUCUAAUCGUUGCGAUAUCUUAUCUCCUAUAGCCCAUAAGUUCUCCUUCGAUCUUCAAAUCAAAUCUAAUUCUAUAGUAGACUAUUACAGUAGUUCACGGUAAUGCUUUAAACGUGGUCGCAUGUACUUCACGAUAAAUUUAGAUUUCGCUGAGCUAUUUAAGCGGAAUCAGGCAGAAGAUGCAAAGGAAAGGAUAACAUAACGGAUAAUGUAACAUUACACUUCUUUGUUGUACAUUUGCCUUAAUAAUUGCGCGCGUAACAAGAAUCAUAAUCGCUCGUCUUCACAUUGCGAAUAUCGAACAAUUUAGCAUAAAAAGAAUUAUUAUCGCAAAAAUGCCAACUUUUUUCUCUACAGGAAGACCAUCAACUUGUUGCGGUGUAUUCGUUUUGCCGACGGCUAACACGCCAUCGUUAGAGAGCUAUCUUAUCGGAAAGAAAGAAUAAAAAACGGUAGACAAAGACAACGUAAGAUAAAAAGAUUCAUUAUACACUCGCGAAAAAAUGAUCAAUUAUAAUUGAUACCAAUCACCAGAAUAAAAUAAUUGCGUGAAAUUUUACAUGACACUCCCGACACGAAGCCGCAUUUUAUUAUAGUAAUAUUGCUGUGAAAAAGCAAAUAUACCGAAAAAGUACAGACUUUCAGCCAUUCGAUAUCUACAUACGAAUCUCGCAAAUUAGCAUAACGAACAAAAUCUCGAACGAGGGAGGAUUUUAUGAAAUCGCGAACAAUAUGCAAACAUCAAAUUUAUAUGAGCAAUCAAUGAAUAUUAAAUCGCGGGCAUAAUUGCGCACGCAAUUAUUCUGUACUACUCCGUGUUCUUUAUUCGAAAAUAAGCGAAUUGUGUUUAAAAUAUUUAAAGCGUAAUCAUAAUUGAGACGCGCUCGAAUCUGUCAUGAAAUAAACAAAUCAUGAUCGGCCGUAUAGAUAAAGAAUUAUAAUUUAUAAUAUCUCUCCUUUAUCGAUAAGUGGAAUGAAUAAAUUGCGCGAAGUACGCUACCCGCUUUGAUAAAUAGCUGAUACAUUCACAGUUGUUAAUCACGAGGUUUAAUCGAUCGCGUGAGUUAAUAGUUUCUGAUUACUCAUAAGAAAUGAACGCGUUUCGAUGGGCAAUGCGAUGACACUUGGAGCGAUUCACGCCGCGCUACUCGGCUCGAGUCAGUCGAGUCUCAUCAGGUGAAUGAUAAACACGGCGCGGCGACCUUGUGUAUGUACGCGCCAGCAUCGUAUUAAAACCUAUCAAAACAAACACCAAGGCCAUGUGCUAGUAAAACUGUCAUUUCGAAAUCUGUAGCACUUUAUAUGAAAUAAAUUAUACUGAAUAUA